Molecule: transfer RNA, 65 nt
Filed under: Monomachus antipodalis
Lineage: Eukaryota; Metazoa; Arthropoda; Insecta; Hymenoptera; Monomachidae
Description: tRNA-Asn
Source: RNAcentral
UUAAUUGAAUCCAAAUUAGAGGAAUAUUAAUGUUAAUAAUAAAAUUGAUUGAGUAUCCAAUUAAU